AGUGAACGCUGGCGGUAGGCCUAACACAUGCAAGUCGAACGGCAGCACAGUAAGAGCUUGCUCUUACGGGUGGCGAGUGGCGGACGGGUGAGGAAUACAUCGGAAUCUACUUUUUCGUGGGGGAUAACGUAGGGAAACAUACGCUAAUACCGCAUACGACCUACGGGUGAAAGCAGGGGAUCUUCGGAACUUGCGCGAUUGAAUGAGACGAUGUCGGAUUAGCUAGUUGGCGGGGUAAAGGCCCACCAAGGCGACGAUCCGUAGCUGGUCUGAGAGGAUGAUCAGCCACACUGGAACUGAGACACGGUCCAGACUCCUACGGGAGGCAGCAGUGGGGAAUAUUGGACAAUGGGCGCAAGCCUGAUCCAGCCAUACCGCGUGCGUGAGGAAGGCCUUCGGGUUGUAAAGCCCUUUUGUUGGGAAAGAAAAGCAGCAGGUUAAUACCCCGCUGUUCUGACGGUACCCAAAGAAUAAGCACCGGCUAACUUCGUG
RNAcentral lists this ribosomal RNA (492 nucleotides) under uncultured bacterium. Its description in RNAcentral is "partial 16S ribosomal RNA". It matches the Rfam family "Bacterial small subunit ribosomal RNA", at positions 29 to 507 of the family's 1533-position model. The record is from RNAcentral.